AGAAAAGGAGAAUCCAUACGGCUCUUUCGAUCUUUUGGAAUGGUGGAAGUCAAGGGAAAAACAUUUUCCCGUUCUUGCAAGGAUGGUUCAGAAUGUUUUAUCAAUUCAAGCUCAACUGUUACAUCGGAGAGUGCUUUCAGUCAAGCAAGACUACAAAUCGGUGAUCGUAGAGCGGCGAUGAGGGAGAGCUUGGAAAAAUCAGUGCUUUUUAGAGAUUGGAUCCGCG
RNAcentral lists this long non-coding RNA (226 nucleotides) under Nicotiana benthamiana. RNAcentral's name for it is "long non-coding RNA (NBEN_LNC031767)". The record is from RNAcentral. Lineage: Eukaryota; Viridiplantae; Streptophyta; Magnoliopsida; Solanales; Solanaceae.